GACAAACAUAGAGAAGGGAAAUGGUCCUGUCUGGCCCGCAGGCUGUGUGUGGAGCCACGGCUGGGGAUGAGGCCAGAUACGAAUAGCAAUUGCUAGCAUUUCCUGAGCACCUGUGCAUUUUCCAGGCACGCUCUAUGUGUUGUGACUUAGCUGAUCAUUACAGUAGCCCCAUGGGGUGGUAUUAAUAUAACCUUUAUUUUACAGCUUCACAGGGAGGGUAAGUAUCAUGCUGCGAGCAUGAAGAAUGGAGAAGCCAAGAUUCAGCCCAGCCAGUUAGACUCCAGAGCCUGUGCUCCUAAUGCCACUCCGGAUGGCCCUGAUGGUCUUGAAUUUUCCUUGCCAAUUGAUAAAGUUGGCUCUUUCUAUCUUUUGGUCCAGGAAGAAAAAGCAUGGUGGAAACCAGACUGUGUUUUCUAUGCGGGCAGCAGGGAAGGCAUGGCCUUGUGGAUUGUGUCCCUCAACACUGAUAAGCUGUGACAUCAGGGGCCUGGGAGGACCUCCAGCUGUUCCACCUAUGCUGGAUCCUGGAGUGCACGAUAACAUUCAGGAAGUUGAAGGAGCCCAGAUAAUGAAUAACAAGCACAUGUAAUCUCUUUCACUGAGUUUCUUAAGUUGUCUGAGUACUCAUGCAUCUCCAACUUGGAGAAGACUUGUUUUCUUCAAUUUCUUCCUUCUAGCACAAAAAGUGUUGUUUAAUUACCCCAGUUGGCCUAGCUUCUCCAUAAAUGCCUUUUCCUUCUAGAGUCAAAAUCUUAAGAAAACCAGUCAGGACUGGAACAGAUGCACAAAACUUGUUUUCCAUGAAGUAAACACUUUUCUUUGGUUUCUUCUGGUGUUAAUAGUACAUGACACGUUUUAUUGCACUAUGAAUACAUGUAGUAGAUAACUCUGGGAGGAAAGGUAUUGUCAACCUCUCAGGUUACUGAAAUUUCUGGAGAGUGCAAAACCAGGCAGAAAAUGUCAGAAAAGAAAGCUCCUUUACAAAAGGACAAUUCAG
RNAcentral lists this long non-coding RNA (997 nucleotides) under Cavia porcellus (domestic guinea pig). RNAcentral's name for it is "lncRNA (ENSCPOG00000030415.1)". The record is from RNAcentral. Lineage: Eukaryota; Metazoa; Chordata; Mammalia; Rodentia; Caviidae.